GCCUCGUUGGCGUAGUGGUAACGCGUUUCACUUGUAUGUUCUAUGGGAACAGCCACAUGAAGAUUGUGCUAUUCAAUGAAAAGAUCACUCGUUCAAUCCGGGUACGAGGCA
Molecule: non-coding RNA, 111 nt
Organism: Crucibulum laeve
Lineage: Eukaryota; Fungi; Basidiomycota; Agaricomycetes; Agaricales; Nidulariaceae
Source: the annotation of a GenBank genome assembly